UAUGAUGUAACUCAUAGGCCAAAACAUGGAGCAUUACAGUUUUUUUGUUUUUUGAGAUGGAGUCUUGCUCUGUUGCCCAGGCUGGAGUGCAGUGAUGAUUAUCUAGGCUCACUGCAACCUCUGCCUCCUGGGUUUAAGCGAUUCUCCUGCCUUAGCCUCCCAAGUAGCUGGAAUUACAGGUGCCCACCACCACACCCAGCUAAUUUUUGUAUUUUUAGUAAGACGGGGUUUCACCAUGUUGGCCAGGCUGGUCUGGAACUCCUGACCUCAAGUGAUCUGCCUGUCUCAGCCUCCUAAAGUGCUGGGAUUGCAGGCAUGAGCCACCACACCCAGCCUACAGUUUUGUGCUGUGUUAACAUUAUACCUAUCUAGAACAUUUUCAAGUAGUAGUAUCAUGAAAUUCUAAAUGUAUAAUAUCUUUUAAAAUGCAUUUCAGUCCACCUCUGGAGGUAUGAAGGAGGCUAUCCAGCCCUCACAGAAGUCAUGAAUAAACUCAGAGAAAAUAAGGAAUUUUUGGAAUUUCGUAAGGCAAGAAGUGACAUGCUUCUCUCCAGGAAGAAUCAGCUCCUG
Molecule: small RNA, 570 nt
Filed under: Pongo abelii (Sumatran orangutan)
Lineage: Eukaryota; Metazoa; Chordata; Mammalia; Primates; Hominidae
Description: retained intron
Source: RNAcentral